UUUCCGUAGGUGAACCUGCGGAAGGAUCAUUAUUGAGUAACCGAUGUGCGAGCGCCCUCCCUGACCUGACCGGCCGUGCAUGCAGGUAAGACCUCCCCGACAUACAUGUCACCCUCAUUUGUACCACCGCGUGCGUCCCUCUCUGGCUAGUUUGCAGCGGGGCGUACGAUCUUACACAAACCUUGUUUGCAGCGUACAAUGCAUGUUUUGUUUUUACGAACAGGCAAUCAAUACAACAUUCAACAACGGAUCUCUUGGCUCACGAAUCGCUGCACAAAA
Molecule: unclassified non-coding RNA, 279 nt
Filed under: plant metagenome
Description: partial contains small subunit ribosomal RNA, internal transcribed spacer 1, and 5.8S ribosomal RNA
Source: RNAcentral